This 465-nucleotide ribosomal RNA is filed under the name uncultured bacterium. RNAcentral's name for it is "SSU rRNA". It matches the Rfam family "Bacterial small subunit ribosomal RNA", at positions 26 to 518 of the family's 1533-position model. The record is from RNAcentral.
AGAAUCAACGCUGGCGGCGUGCCUAACACAUGCAAGUCGAACGAGAAAGUGGAGCAAUCCAUGAGUAAAGUGGCGCACGGGUGAGUAACACGUGACUAACCUACCCUUGAGUGGGGGAUAACCUAGGGAAACCUGGGCUAAUACCGCAUAAUACCUUCGGGUCAAAGGAGCAAUUCGCUUAAGGAGGGGGUCGCGGCCGAUUAGUUAGUUGGCGGGGUAAUGGCCCACCAAGGCGACGAUCGGUAGCUGGUCUGAGAGGACGACCAGCCACACUGGAACUGAGACACGGUCCAGACUCCUACGGGAGGCAGCAGUGGGGAAUAUUGCGCAAUGGGCGAAAGCCUGACGCAGCGACGCCGCGUGAGGGAUGAAGGCCUUCGGGUUGUAAACCUCUUUCAGCAGGGACGAAGCGAAAGUGACGGUACCUGCAGAAGAAGCACCGGCCAACUACGUGCCAGCAGCCGC